CCAGCUUCCGACGCUACUCUCGGUUUGAUCGGCUAGCAACAAGGCCUCUCUCGGAUGCACCAAUUUGCCAAGGAAACUGGCAACCAUGGAGCUGCUCCCCGACGACGUGCUCGCUUGCAUCCUCCGCCGCCUCAACGCGCGCAGCCUCGCGGCGUCCCGCUGCGUCUGCAAGGCGUGGCGCCAUGUCGUCGACGCCCGGAGCCUGCUGCGCGCGGACCUCCUCCCGCUCUCGGUCUAGGGGAUCUUGUUCGUGGAGGAGGUGAUGCUGAGCAGCAUGCGAUUCUUCGCCCGCCCCCUCAUGGAGCACCAAAUCGCCGACAGGUUCGACUACCUCGAAGACGACGUCUCCCGCCCAGCCUACCACCAUCUGGAAUUGCUGGAUCACCGCAACGGCCUGCUCUUGCUCAGGGACUGGGUGGUUAACCCGGCGACCCGGCAGUGCGUGCCCUUGCCCCCGCCGCCGCCUCCACGCGCGGGGAUGGAAGCUUUCCUUGACACCAGAUACCUUGUGUUUGAUCCCGCUGUAUCGCCGCACUACCAUGUGUUUUCGAUCCCUAGAGUCUCGCGCAGAACUGGUGAGCUAACCAAAUUCACCGUGUUCUCCUCGACAACACGGAGGUGGGAGGAGAGGUCUUUUGUUCGACAAGAAGGAGAAGCGGCCACACGGACUACCAUAGCCGACAUCAACUACUCUCCUCGGAAGCACCGCUAUGCUGUCUACUGGCGGGAUGCGCUUUAUGUGCAUUCCCAAGACGAUUCCAUUAUACGCAUAACCUUGUCCACCCAUAAGUACCAAGUGAUUCCAUCUCCAAUAGGACGUCAAGUGACAUAUCUAGAAUCUCUCUACUUGGGGAAAUCCAUCAAUGGCGUCUACUGUGCACUAAUCUUUAAUUUGGAGGAACGGCUACGGAUUUGGCUACUUAAUGAUGAUGAGGUACGCGGUCAAACAAAAUGGGUGCUCAAGAAUGACGUGAGCAUUCAGCCACUCGUGGGAAUAACACAUCAACACUUUGGCCUUCAAAACAAUGGACUUUGGACUUUGCAAAACACCCUUGUUGAACCGAUGGCGGAGCAGAAAUUUGAAUGGGAUCCUGACAGCGGCAUUAUCCUUGAAGCUGAGGCUAAGGCUCCAAUAGAUCACUUUCAUGAUGAUAUUCGUACCCUAGGAUUUCAUCCUUACAAGGAGAUUCUCUUCUUAUGGACAAAUUGCAAAAGAGUAGUAGCUUACCAUUUGAACAGUUCCAAGGCUCAAGACGUGGGAAAGUUACCCGUACCAUCGAUAGAAACGUCUUUUGUAUACACACCCUUGUUGGAUGGGGAAAUAUUAGGAAAAUAGUUAACAUAGUUGUCGGCAUCAAAGUGGUGGUAUCAGUCAAAUGUAAGAUGAUGUCACAUUGAUCUCUGUCACAUAUGUACCCCCGGAGUAUCGGCGGCGUUGACUAUUUUUUUGUUCCCUACCUUUUCUUGUAUUUUAACUUAAUUUAUCUUGUGUGUUUCCACGAUGUUUUGCAACUGAA
This is a long non-coding RNA of Triticum aestivum (bread wheat), 1517 nucleotides long. RefSeq lists it as uncharacterized. The transcript is spliced from 2 exons. The record is from RefSeq and is a predicted model, not a curated record. NCBI's taxonomy places the organism in Eukaryota, Viridiplantae, Streptophyta, Magnoliopsida, Poales, Poaceae.